CUCGUAGGUGGCCAACUAAGUCGGACGUGAAAUCCCUCGGCUUAACCGGGGAACUGCGUCCGAUACUGGUUGGCUUGAGUUUGGGAGAGGGAUGCGGAAUUCCAGGUGUAGCGGUGAAAUGCGUAGAUAUCUGGAGGAACACCGGUGGCGAAGGCGGCAUCCUGGACCAAUACUGACGCUGAGGAGCGAAAGCCAGGGGAGCAAACA
This 207-nucleotide ribosomal RNA is filed under the name uncultured bacterium. RNAcentral describes it as "partial 16S ribosomal RNA". It matches the Rfam family "Bacterial small subunit ribosomal RNA", at positions 568 to 774 of the family's 1533-position model. The record is from RNAcentral.